GGCCCCGUAGUUCAGUUGGUUAGAACGCCUGCCUGUCACGCAGGAGGUCGACGGUUCGAGUCCGUUCGGGGUCGCCA
RNAcentral lists this transfer RNA (77 nucleotides) under Bacillota bacterium. RNAcentral describes it as "Firmicutes bacterium (anaerobic digester metagenome) tRNA-Asp". It matches the Rfam family "tRNA". From Rfam's summary of the family: Transfer RNA (tRNA) molecules are approximately 80 nucleotides in length. Lineage: Bacteria; Bacillati; Bacillota. The record is from RNAcentral.